Long non-coding RNA from Oncorhynchus keta (chum salmon), 845 nucleotides. RefSeq lists it as uncharacterized. The transcript is spliced from 3 exons. Lineage: Eukaryota; Metazoa; Chordata; Actinopteri; Salmoniformes; Salmonidae. The record is from RefSeq and is a predicted model, not a curated record.
UAGAAGCUUUGUAGAGAGGACUAAGGUCUGGCCUUCUGGAACUUCCCAGUUCCACGGUAAAGGACCAAUAGUUACAUGACGGUUCUCUCUGAGAAAACGGAUCCGACGCUGAACAUGUGGAAUCAGCAGCAGGUGAACAACAACCACCUUGGAAAAGAGUAAAGACGAAUCCUGGAAUGUACACAGGUCUAUAUUUGGAGAAGGGAGAGGUGGAGAAACCACAUGUCCAUGUUUUACUGUGCAGCAGUGAAGUAGUCAGGGAGGAAGUGCCUGGGUCUGGACCAUAGGUACCACAGGAGAUGGCCUGGGUCUGGACCAUAGGUACCACAGGAGAUGGCCUGGGUCUGGACCAUAGGUACCACAGGAGAUGGCCUGGGUCUGGACCAUAGGUACCACAGGAGAUGGCCUGGGUCUGGACCAUAGGUACCACAGGAGAUGGCCUGGGUCUGGACCAUAGGUACCACAGGAGAUGGCCUGGGUCUGGACCAUAGGUACCACAGGAGAUGGCCUGGGUCUGGACCAUAGGUACCACAGGAGAUGGCCUGGGUCUGGACCAUAGGUACCACAGGAGAUGGCCUGGGUCUGGACCAUAGGUACCACAGGAGAUGGCCUGGGUCUGGACCAUAGGUACCACAGGAGAUGGCCUGGGUCUGGACCAUAGGUACCACAGGAGAUGGCCUGGGUCUGGACCAUAGGUACCACAGGAGAUGGCCUGGGUCUGGACCAUAGGUACCACAGGAGAUGGCCUGGGUCUGGACCAUAGGUACCACAGGAGAUGGCCUGGGUCUGGACCAUAGGUACCACAGGAGAUGGCCUGGGUCUGGACCAUAGGUACCACAGGAGAU